GCUGGCGGCGUGCCUUAUGCAUGCAAGUCGAACGGUCCUUUACCCUUCGGGGUGAAGGAUAGUGGCAAACGGGUGAGUAACGCGUAAGCAACCUGCCCUUAAGUAGGGGAUAACUCUGAGAAAUUGGAGCUAAUACCUUAUGUGGUGAUGAGGUUAGAGCUUCAUCACUAAAGCCUUAGGGCGCUUAAGGAGGGGCUUGCGUCCGAUUAGCUAGUUGGUAGGGUAACGGCUUACCAAGGCGACGAUCGGUAGCUGGUUUGAGAGGAUGUCCAGCCACACUGGGAUUUAGAUACGGCCCAGACUCCUACGGGAGGCAGCAGCAAGGAAUAUUGUGCAAUGGGCGAAAGCCUGACACAGCGACGCCGCGUGGGGGAUGAAGGCCCUCGGGUUGUAAACCCCUUUUCUCAGGGAAGAAUAAUGACGGUACCUGAGGAAUAAGCCUCGGCUAACUACGUGCCAGCAGCCGCGGUAAUACGUAGGAGGCUAGCGUUAUCCGGAUUUACUGGGCGUAAAGAGGGCGUAGGUGGCUUUUCAAGUCGGAUGUAAAAUUUCCCGGCUUAACUGGGACAGAUCAUCCGAUACUGUUAGGCUAGAGGGCAGCAGAGGGAGGUGGAAUUCCCGGUGUAGUGGUGAAAUGCAUAGAUAUCGGGAGGAACACCAGUGGCGAAGGCGGCCUCCUGGGCUGUUUCUGACACUGAGGCCCGAAAGCGUGGGGAGCGAACAGAAUUAGAUACUCUGGUAGUCCACGCUGUAAACGAUGGACACUAGGUAUGGGGAGUAUCGACCCUCUCCGUGCCGAAGCUAACGCGUUAAGUGUCCCGCCUGGGGACUACGACCGCAAGGUUAAAACUCAAGGAAUUGA
Molecule: ribosomal RNA, 862 nt
Filed under: uncultured bacterium
Lineage: Bacteria
Description: bacterial SSU rRNA
Rfam family: Bacterial small subunit ribosomal RNA
Source: RNAcentral